GACGAACGCUGGCGGCGUGCUUAACACAUGCAAGUCGAACGGUGAAGCGCCUUCCUUUUUGGUGGGUGUGGAUGAGUGGCGAACGGGUGAGUAACACGUGAGUAACCCGCCCCCUUCUUCUGGAUAACCGCAUGAAAGUGUGGCUAAUACGGGAUAUUCUGGGUCUGUCGCAUGAUGGGUCUGGGAAAGAUAUUGUUUCGGUGGGGGAGGGGCUCGCGGCCUAUCAGCUUGUUGGUGGGGUGAUGGCCUACCAAGGCGGUGACGGGUAGCCGGCCUGAGAGGGUGGACGGUCACACUGGGACUGAGACACGGCCCAGACUCCUACGGGAGGCAGCAGUGGGGAAUAUUGCACAAUGGGCGCAAGCCUGAUGCAGCGACGCCGCGUGAGGGAUGGAGGCCUUCGGGUUGUGAACCUCUUUCGCCAGUGAAGCAGGCCUGCCUCGUUUGUGGGUGGGUUGACGGUAGCUGGAUAAGAAGCGCCGGCUAACUACGUG
RNAcentral lists this ribosomal RNA (494 nucleotides) under uncultured bacterium. RNAcentral's name for it is "partial 16S ribosomal RNA". It matches the Rfam family "Bacterial small subunit ribosomal RNA", at positions 28 to 507 of the family's 1533-position model. The record is from RNAcentral.